Molecule: ribosomal RNA, 440 nt
Filed under: Acinetobacter baumannii
Lineage: Bacteria; Pseudomonadati; Pseudomonadota; Gammaproteobacteria; Moraxellales; Moraxellaceae
Description: bacterial SSU rRNA
Rfam family: Bacterial small subunit ribosomal RNA
Source: RNAcentral
UGACGCUGGCGGCAGGCUUACACAUGCAAGUCGAGCGGGGGAAGGUAGCUUGCUACCGGACCUAGCGGCGGACGGGUGAGUAAUGCUUAGGAAUCUGCCUAUUAGUGGGGGACAACAUCUCGAAAGGGAUGCUAAUACCGCAUACGUCCUACGGGAGAAAGCAGGGGAUCUUCGGACCUUGCGCUUAAUAGAUGAGCCUAAGUCGGAUUAGCUAGUUGGUGGGGUAAAGGCCUACCAAGGCGACGAUCUGUAGCGGGUCUGAGAGGAUGAUCCGCCACACUGGGACUGAGACACGGCCCAGACUCCUACGGGAGGCAGCAGUGGGGAAUAUUGGACAAUGGGGGGAACCCUGAUCCAGCCAUGCCGCGUGUGUGAAGAAGGCCUUAUGGUUGUAAAGCACUUUAAGCGAGGAGGAGGCUACUUUAGUUAAUACCUAGAGA